Molecule: ribosomal RNA, 249 nt
Filed under: uncultured bacterium
Lineage: Bacteria
Description: partial 16S ribosomal RNA
Rfam family: Bacterial small subunit ribosomal RNA
Source: RNAcentral
GACAUGGGGCAAGUGUUCUUCAAAAUGACUGGGCAUAAAGGGCACGUCGGCGAUGAAUCGAGUUAAAAGUGAAAGUCACCAAAAAGUGGUGGAAUGCUCUCAAAACUAAUUCACUUGAGUGAGACAAAGGAGAGUGGAAUUUUGUAUGUAGGGGUGAAAUCCGUUAAUAUACGAAGGAACACCACAAGAGAAGGCACUCUCUGGGUCCCUACUUACGUUAUGGGUGCAAAAUCAUGGGAAGCGAACAUG